GUGGGUGGGGCUCGCGAUUUGAGUCGGGACUAGCGGAUUCGCCGGAGGCUCUGGUCUCCCAGCAAGAGGACAAAUGUGCCGGGAUGUAUGCAGGCAAGCCAGAAGAGGAGAGUCCAGGACCAGUAAAUCAGGUCAGUAAAUGCACUAUUCUGUCAGGGGCCAAGUUACCACUGAAGAGGUAAGACAAGUGAUGGUUGAGGAUCAUAAAUGUGAUUCAAGGACAGCAGAAAUUACCAAGAAGAAAGGGAAAUGUCUGUCAGAUGUGGCACCAAUCUCUUAGUUUCCCCUUAGUAAUACUCCACUGAGAGUAGUUAGAGAAGCUAGUGGGCCAUUGAGAUGGCAGGGUGCCAGCAGCAUUUGGACCCACAGCUUCUGCAACAUUCAAUGCCAGGGCCUGCAGCUGUGGUGGGUGCAGCAGCCUCAGAGGAUGUGAAGUAGACCUCCCCAGAAGUAUCUAUCCUUUUCAGAGAACACCAGCAGAUUAACAGUCACUUUGGACAUUGGAAGCUGCAGCAAACACCUCAAUAUAAUAAGUUGACACAGGAGCAAAGGGAAUGAAUGGUCCAACCCAUGGAGCAGUCAGGGAAGCUGGUCAGGGAAAAGGCAGGGGAGACACCCCUAAGGGGUCCCCAGGCUAUCUGUGAGGAAUUAAAGGGGUCUGGACUUCCCGUACUGUUGUUAGAAACUAAGGAAAAAUACUACUAAUAAGAUAAAUGUCUGUGGUUGUCUUACAUCUUAGCUGGGUAUGUAGGAAUUUAGGUUAUAUGAAAAUUAUUUAGAAUUAAGCUUUCUUUCUUUUUUUCUUUUUCUUUCCUUUUUCUCCUGGUCACCCAUGGCAUAUAGAGUUCCCAGGUCAAGGGUAGGAUCUGACCUAUGCCACAGCUGCGGCAAUGCCAAAUCCUUUAACUCACUUGCCAGGCUGGGGAUUGAACCAUCCUAUUGUGCCACAGCAGGAACUCUAGAAGUAAGUUUUCUUAAGGAGUCACAAAACUUUUCUUUUUUGUUUUUUAGGGCUGCACCUGUGGCAUAUAGAGGUUCCCGGGCUAGGGGUUGAAUCAGAUCUGCAGCUGUUGGCCUACACCACAGCUGUAGCAAUGUGGAAUCAGAGCCACAUCUGUGACCUACGCCAUAGCUCAAGGCAACAUUGGAUCCUUAACCCACUGAGCGAGGCCAGGGAUUGAAUCUGCAUCCUCAUGGAUACUAGUAAGAUUCAUUUCUGCUGAGCCAUGAUGGGAAUUCCAACACAGGAUUAUUCCAACUCCCUCUCUUUCCCUCAGGGUUUGCUGACUUUACCUAUAAUGUCUUCUCAUGUUGCCUCACCCUAAAAGAAUUAGGACUAUCUAAGGCAGCAUUUAACUGGAAACCCAACUAAGGUUUGUGAGGCUGAACAAAUAAAGUUUUAUUAAAAUUUUUUUUUAAUUUUGAUUUUUCUUUUUUCUUUAAAUUUUGUUCUGAGGUAUUUAUUUUUGAAUAUGCAAAAAUUUUAUUUAUUUAAAUAAUUUUUAUUUUUUCCAUUAUAGUUGGUUUACAGUGCUGAGUAAUCAAUUUUCUACUAUACAGCAAAGUGACCCAGUCACACAUGCAUAUAUACAUUCAUUUUCUCACAUUACCCUCCAUUAUUCUCCAUCACAAGUGACUAGAUAUAGUUCCCAGUGCUACACAGCAGGAUCUCAUAGCUAAUCCAUUCUGAAUGCAAUACUUUAUAUCUAUUAACCCCAGAUUCCCAGUCCAUCCCACUCCCACCCCCUUCCCCUUGGUAAUCACAAGUCUGUUCUCCAAGUCCAUGAGUUUCUUUUCUGUGGAAAGGUUAUUUGUGCCAUAUAUUAGAUUCCAGAUGUGUGAUAUCAUAUGGUAUUUGUCUUUCUCUUUCUGACUUCACUUAGUAUGAGAGUCUAUAGUUGCAUCCAUGUUGCUGCAAAUGGCAUUAUUUUGUUCUUUUUUAUGGCUGUGAGGUAUUCCAUUGUGUAUAUAUACCAUAUCUUCUUAAUCAAUUCAUCUUGUCAGUGGACAUUGAGGUUGUUUCCAUGUCUUGGCUAUUAUGGAUGGUGCUGCAAUGAACAUAUGGGUGCAUGUGUCUAUUUCAAGGAAAGUUUUGUCUGGAUAUAUGCCCAUUAUAGUUGAUUUGCCAUAAUCCAUCAAUUUCUACUGUACAGCAAAGGUUUAUUUCUUACUUAACAGUAAAUCUGGAAUUGUCAUUCUUCUGACCUGGUUUCAAGAGCUCAGUGAAGAGAAACACAAUUGUAGAAAUCAAGUCUGUUUUUGAGACAGGAAGAAGGUAGAAAUGAGAAGGUGGGCCAAGGACUCAGCAGGAGGAUUUUAUGUUAUAUCAAGAAACAAAAGCUCCAGAAGGCUUCCAGUUAUGUUUCCUUGGCC
RNAcentral lists this long non-coding RNA (2373 nucleotides) under Sus scrofa (pig). RNAcentral's name for it is "lncRNA (ENSSSCG00040049094.1)". The record is from RNAcentral. Lineage: Eukaryota; Metazoa; Chordata; Mammalia; Artiodactyla; Suidae.